This 384-nucleotide long non-coding RNA is filed under the name Heterocephalus glaber (naked mole-rat). RNAcentral describes it as "lncRNA (ENSHGLG00000048428.1)". Lineage: Eukaryota; Metazoa; Chordata; Mammalia; Rodentia; Bathyergidae. The record is from RNAcentral.
AAUACUCUGGGGAGCCUUGUGAACCAUGAAAAUAGAUACAUCUGGAAAUCAUUUUAUUAUGUGAAAUAAGCUAGACUCCAAAAAGAUUUGGCACCGUGAGACUGCUAGCUUUUCUCCAAAAUCAAAAUGACCAUGAAAUGUAAAUGUUUUGAAUUGAUUCAGGACAUUGAGGCAACCACAACAGUGCAACUGCAACUACAGGUAUGAAAGAGGAUUUCCCAAAACUACUUUAGAAAGUGUCAAGAACGUGGGAUAACUGCAUUUGAAGUGAGGGGGAGUAUUUUGAUGGGGAUUCAUAGCAAUGUGGACCUUUUCUGUAAUUGUAAAAAUUUAAACAUUCACUGUAGUUUUUGAUGGCACCUCAUAUAUGAAAUCUAAAAAGGG